CCUACGGGUGGCAGCAGUGAGGAAUAUUGGUCAAUGGACGAGAGCCUGAACCAGCCAAGUAGCGUGAAGGAUGACGGCCCUAUGGUUUGUAAACUUCUUUUAUAUGGGAAUAAACUGUGCCACGUGUGGUGUUUUGUAUGUACCUUAUGAAUAAGGAUCGGCUAACUCCGUGCCAGCAGCCGCGGUAAUACGGAGGAUCCGAGCGUUAUCCGGAUUUAUUGGGUUUAAAGGGAGCGUAGGUGGAAUGUUAAGUCAGUUGUGAAAGUUUGCGGCUCAACCGUAGAAUUGCCGUUGAAACUGGCAGUCUUGAGUACAGUAGAGGUGGGCGGAAUGCGUGGUGUAGCGGUGAAAUGCUUAGAUAUCACGAAGAACUCCGAUUGCGAAGGCAGCUCACUGGACUGCAACUGACACUGAGGCUCGAAAGUGUGGGUAUCAAACAGGAUUAGAUACCCGAGUAGUC
This 460-nucleotide ribosomal RNA is filed under the name uncultured bacterium. RNAcentral's name for it is "partial 16S ribosomal RNA". It matches the Rfam family "Bacterial small subunit ribosomal RNA", at positions 338 to 795 of the family's 1533-position model. The record is from RNAcentral.